Molecule: long non-coding RNA, 487 nt
Organism: Patella vulgata (common limpet)
Lineage: Eukaryota; Metazoa; Mollusca; Gastropoda; Patellidae
Exons: 2
Source: RefSeq, a predicted model, not a curated record
ACAACCUCUGUUUACACCUCAAUGAAUUCUGAAGCGAAAGUCGAUAUAAUUGAAUCACAUUUCAGGUUAAUUAUCAUAAAUCGCCUAACAUAAUCGUUGAUAUAUAUACAUGAAGCAAUUUAGCGAAGAACAUGGAUGUUAAAAGGUUUUAUAACAGCGAUAUAUUACUGGGCUAGUAAUGGACAAUUUACCGAUGGGUUGCAUGUGGGCUUUUGGUCACCAUGUAACGAAUGAACAUUAGUGUAAAGGGUUAAUAAAUGGGUCAAUGAAGAUUCGUCUGCUACAGCUAUGGUUAUGGAGUUCUAUAUAUACAAGAUUUGCAGCCUUGACCCUGAAAUUAUUGGCUUAGGUACUGGUUGUAUGGUCGAACCACAUGUAAGGCAAAGACUUUCAGAUUUAGGAGGAAGAAAUAAGUUUUCCACUGAUGGCGGCUGUUAAUUUGCAUAUACAUGUAAUGCAUUAUGUAAUAAAGUGAUUAUAUUCUAAA